GACUCCACGCUGUGGACGUGGCAACGUAGGUUCGAAUCCUGCUUUGGACAUUUUUAAUAAUGGGGUAGUUAA
Molecule: non-coding RNA, 72 nt
Organism: Plasmodium relictum
Lineage: Eukaryota; Apicomplexa; Aconoidasida; Haemosporida; Plasmodiidae
Source: the annotation of a RefSeq genome assembly